GACGAACGCUGGCGGCGUGCUUAACACAUGCAAGUCGAACGGAAAGGCCCUGCUUGCAGGGUGCUCGAGUGGCGAACGGGUGAGUAACACGUGGGUGAUCUGCCCCUUACUUUGGGAUAAGCCUGGGAAACUGGGUCUAAUACUGGAUAGGACCAUGCUGUAGGUGGUGUGGUGGAAAGAUUAGUUUCGGUAAGGGAUGAGCUCGCGGCCUAUCAGCUUGUUGGUGGGGUAAUGGCCUACCAAGGCGUCGACGGGUAGCCGGCCUGAGAGGGUGGACGGCCCCAUUGGGACGCGGAUACGGCCCAGACUCCUACGGGAGGCAGCAGUGGGGAAUAUUGCACAAUGGGCGCAAGCCUGAUGCGGCGACGCCGCGUGGGGGAUGACGGCCUUCGGGUUGUAAACUCCUUUCAGCCAUGACGAAGCCUUCGGGUGACGGUAGUGGGAGAAGAAGCACCGGCUAACUACGUG
Molecule: ribosomal RNA, 468 nt
Filed under: uncultured bacterium
Lineage: Bacteria
Description: partial 16S ribosomal RNA
Rfam family: Bacterial small subunit ribosomal RNA
Source: RNAcentral